Molecule: long non-coding RNA, 438 nt
Filed under: Trifolium pratense (red clover)
Lineage: Eukaryota; Viridiplantae; Streptophyta; Magnoliopsida; Fabales; Fabaceae
Description: long non-coding RNA (TPRA_LNC011541)
Source: RNAcentral
AAGUUGCGAAUCCAAUUCAUGUGAUUCUUUGACUUCCUCAAACUUCGCCUUAUCCUUUUGAUAGCUACGUUGUGCUCUCUGUAUAAGAAUACAAAGAAAUAGAUAUAUGAAAAGUUAUACAUCUCAUCUAUGUGUGUAAAUCUGAAAAUAACAUGAACUAACAGCUAUUACUGCAAUGUUUAUAUUUCCCAUUUGCCAAAAGUUAAACACCAGUUCAUUUCCCAAUCUUUGAAAGAGUCUAUAUUUUACUUGAAGAGUCCCUUGGGGAAUCCAAUAUCUUUGUCAAAUAUAAAAUCGUUCAUGUGCUUCAUUUAAUAACUCAUGCUUUUGAAAUAGUUGGGCUCAUGACAUGCUAUCAGAGCAUACCAUGGAUAUCUAUAAAUCCUCUCAAGAAUCAUGCUGAUUAAAUUUCACUCAUUGUUGGUAAUUCAAUUCUCU